GCCCGCUCAGAAACUACAAAGGAAGUUGACGGGGCCCGCACAAGCGGUGGAGCAUGUGGUUUAAUUCGAUGAUACGCGAGGAACCUUACCUGGGCUCAAAUGUAUGUUGACGUAUUCUGAAAGGGAUACUUCUUCGGACAAUAUACAAGGUGCUGCAUGGUUGUCGUCAGCUCGUGCCGUGAGGUGUCGGGUUAAGUCCCAUAACGAGCGCAACCCUAUCAUUAGUUGCCAUCAGGUCAAGCUGGGGACUCUAAUGAAACUGCCUACGCAAGUAGUGAGGAAGGUGGGGAUGACGUCAAAUCAGCACGGCCCUUACGUCCAGGGCUACACACGUGCUACAAUGGCCGGUACAAAGGGCAGCUACCUGGUGACAGGAUGCUAAUCUCAAAAGCCGGUCUCAGUUCGGAUCGGAGUCUGCAACCCGACUCCGUAAAGCUGGAAUCGCUAGUAAUCGCGCAUCAGCCAUGGCGCGGUGAAUACGUUCCCGGGCCUU
This 493-nucleotide ribosomal RNA is filed under the name uncultured Sphingobacteriales bacterium. RNAcentral describes it as "bacterial SSU rRNA". It matches the Rfam family "Bacterial small subunit ribosomal RNA", at positions 903 to 1382 of the family's 1533-position model. Lineage: Bacteria; Pseudomonadati; Bacteroidota; Sphingobacteriia; Sphingobacteriales. The record is from RNAcentral.